AAGACAAAAAAAAAAAAAAAAAAAAAAGUAACAUCGGUCACAGAAGAGGACAUGCUAAUGGCCAAUACAAGGAAACUUAGACUCCAGGAGUGCGGAGGAAGCGCACAGUGAAACAAAAACAUAGGACGCCCCCCCAUCAAUUAAUUGACAAAAGAUAAACAGAAGAAUGUCCAGCUGUUGGGGCUGUCAAGGGGGAGUGGGGAGGGAGCAGGAUGGACUGGGAAUUUGUUGGGAGUUCGGGAUUAACAGAUGCAAACUACUACAUUUAGAAUGUAUGAACAAGUCCUACUGUACAGAGAGCCCAGGGACCUAUACCCAGUCUCCACGACAGACCAUAAAAAAGAAUGGAUGUACCUGCGUACAUGAGUCACUUUGCUAUACAGCAGAAAUUGGCAAAAUAUUGCAAAUCAGCCAUACUCGAAUAAAAAGAAACGAAAACAAAAAAAGUUUGUAGAACACCAUGUACUUUAAAGUAUAGGGGCACUUAAAGUUUUACUUGGUUAUUACAGCAUAUUUACCACCGUCAUUUUGUAAAUCUAAGACAACUAGAAAGGAAAAUAUUCAAUAUGCUUUCAAGAUGGUAUACAUUAGAUUGUCCUUUUACUCGGCGACUCUUCUGCUGUGCUAGUCAUACUGGGUUUACUCACUACUGAUUUAUUCCCCACUUGUCAUGUGCAGGGCACUGGAAACGAUGCUGGAUACACCACGGGGAGCAAGAGACACACUAUCCCUAGGAAGCUGAGCUUGCAAACAGAAACAGACAUUCCGACAAACAGCUACAGAAACGGAAAUAAUGACGAUUGAUGCUGGGAUACUUGUCUAUCUGCCUACAUCAGCUUAACGGCUGCUGAACAGGAAAUGCAACUGUCAUUUCCACAUACCCGAUACAUGGUACAUGGUCAAGGAGUGGUAUUACAGAACGACAUCAAGGGGCUUCAAACGUCGCGCACAUUCCACCAGUGGCCUCUACCAACUAACCACCACACGCUUAGAAGACGCGAGCAUUACCGUCCGCCGUGGUCGCCUUCUGGUGCGGCAUCAGCAUGGCAGCAAAUUCUUGAAGCUGAUUUCCUCUGAUGAUCCUAUCCAGGUACAUCUUCUCUAAGAUCCCAUAAGCAGCAAGUUGCUGGCACCUUUCAUCCUUAAA
Sus scrofa (pig) is the source of this 1147-nucleotide non-coding RNA. Lineage: Eukaryota; Metazoa; Chordata; Mammalia; Artiodactyla; Suidae. The record is from RefSeq and is a predicted model, not a curated record.